AACGAACGCUGGCGGCAUGCCUAACACAUGCAAGUCGAACGAUCCCUUCGGGGAUAGUGGCGCACGGGUGCGUAACGCGUGGGAACCUGCCCUUAGGUUCGGAAUAACUCAGAGAAAUUUGAGCUAAUACCGGAUAAUGUCUUCGGACCAAAGAUUUAUCGCCUUUGGAUGGGCCCGCGUUGGAUUAGCUAGUUGGUGGGGUAAAGGCCUACCAAGGCGACGAUCCAUAGCUGGUCUGAGAGGAUGAUCAGCCACACUGGGACUGAGACACGGCUCAGACUCCUACGGGAGGCAGCAGUGGGGAAUAUUGGACAAUGGGCGAAAGCCUGAUCCAGCAAUGCCGCGUGAGUGAUGAAGGCCUUAGGGUUGUAAAGCUCUUUUACCCGGGAUGAUAAUGACAGUACCGGGAGAAUAAGCCCCGGCUAACUCCGUG
Molecule: ribosomal RNA, 433 nt
Filed under: uncultured bacterium
Lineage: Bacteria
Description: partial 16S ribosomal RNA
Rfam family: Bacterial small subunit ribosomal RNA
Source: RNAcentral